Hippocampus comes (tiger tail seahorse) is the source of this 609-nucleotide long non-coding RNA. RefSeq lists it as uncharacterized. The record is from RefSeq and is a predicted model, not a curated record. NCBI's taxonomy places the organism in Eukaryota, Metazoa, Chordata, Actinopteri, Syngnathiformes, Syngnathidae. The transcript has 2 exons.
CCACACUAGAUGUCAGUGGCGAGGACAACCAAAGAUGGCCUGGACACUGGAGAGCUCGGGAACAGCGUGGCUGCCUGCGCGUCGGCAAAUAUUGGAGACGCAGUGUUAUGUGGAGGAAGGCUAGGUAUCCCUCCGCCACCACAGCUGUGUGAACUGCUUUCACACACUUUCCGCGCAGAAAAUAGCGAGAAAGCAUACAAACUCGUCAUUAUUGUUCAAGUUUUUCAGGGAUUGUAGUUUGUCUGUGUAUCACGGCCAGUUGUUGUUGGUGUUAUUUAUUUCGCCUUUUAAUCCAAGACAAUAUGCUGACAGAAACAUACUGUAGCACCAAGGACAGUCGCCAGGUGUACCUGCAUGUCUAACGUCCAUUGAAUUCAACUCCAACGUGUUUUGUUCUCAAAACCAAAAAGUACUGUACUCGCACUCGCUACUUGUAAAAAAAAAAAUAUAUAUAUAUAUAUCAACAUUAUGACACGUUUCACGUUUCAACCUGAUCAAUUUUAACACGAUAAGGUAUCACGUUAUAACACACGUUUUAUGAUAUAGCAUGGCAUUUAACUGUUUUUGUGGAAAAAAAAUUCUUGUAAAAUAAAACAAAACAAUCUUAUU